UACGUAGGGUGCGAGCGUUAAUCGGAAUUACUGGGCGUAAAGCGUGCGUAGGCGGCCAUGCAAGUCAGAUGUGAAAGCCCCGGGCUUAACCCGGGAACGGCGUUUGAAACUGUAUGGCUUGAGUUCGGCAGGGGAAGAUGGAAUUUCGUGUGUAGCGGUGAAAUGCGUAGAUAUACGAAAGAACACUAAUAGCGAAGGCAUUCUUCUGGGACGAUACUGACGCUGAGUCACCAAAGCGUGGGGAGCAAACAGG
Molecule: ribosomal RNA, 253 nt
Filed under: uncultured Pseudomonadota bacterium
Lineage: Bacteria; Pseudomonadati; Pseudomonadota
Description: uncultured proteobacterium partial 16S ribosomal RNA
Rfam family: Bacterial small subunit ribosomal RNA
Source: RNAcentral